AUGCCUGCAGGGAUCAUCGGAACCAUGGUCACCGGCGGCGACGGCAGCAAGCUUCCGGACCUCAGGGACGUGCUCUCCUUCUCCUUCAAGUUCAUGAAGCAGGGCAAGAAGGAAGGCUCGUCCAACGCCUCGCCGCAGAACGACCUCUUGUUGUCUCAGGUCAACUAUCUCAGGGAUCAGCUCCAAGCAUUGUCCCGUGAGGCUCAAUGCCCGCAGAUUAUCAACGUCAAUGGUGGACCAGGCGCUGGUGCUUAUGGUUUAACUUUUAUUGCUGUUGGAGCCAUUGGCUAUUUAUACAUAAGAUGGAAGGGAUGGAAAAUUUCUGAUAUGAUGUUUGUCACCAAGCGUGGCUUGGCUGAUGCCUGCAACGUAGUUGGCAAACAAUUGGAUCAGGUUUCGGAAAGUGUUCAUGCUUCAAAAAAGCAUUUGGCUGGAAGGAUCGACCGAGUCGAUUGUAGUCUAGAUGAAUGCCACGAAAUUAUUGAAGCCACAGGGAAAGAGGUUACAGUAAUACAUGGAGAUCUAAGUGCCUUUCAGGAGGAAAUACAAUCAGUUCACCAUGUUGUCCGCACUCUGGAGACAAAGCUUGGACGCCUUGCAUAUACUCAAGAUCACACAACACGAGGAAUACAUGAGUUAUGUGAGUUCACUAAAAGAUUGGAUCGGAGUCCGAAAGCCGAUACUCUUAAGGUCACAGCAUCAACUCCUCUCCCUGCAAUCGAGUCUUCAGAAGGAAUUACUAGGACUGCUUCGUUGCCGUCAGGUUCAGAACCCGUGUCUCCUGUAGCUCAAUCACCUAGAGCAGAUCCACCUAAGGUUCUGCGUUCGUCUACAGCCAUAUCAGCAUCAGGACUGAGUAUGCUAGCUGGAACUACAGCAAUACCUAAAAGGGCUGUGAUCAACCGGGCAACUUCGAUGAAGGAAGGAGUGCCGACCCCCGAGGCGCCAAAGGACACUUCAAGCACAGCAGCAACACUCAAGAGACCUGUUUCGAGUUCGAGCCGGUUCGGUUUCCUGCGGGGUUUCGCCAGCUGA
RNAcentral lists this ribosomal RNA (1035 nucleotides) under Triticum aestivum (bread wheat). RNAcentral's name for it is "partial small subunit ribosomal RNA". The record is from RNAcentral. Lineage: Eukaryota; Viridiplantae; Streptophyta; Magnoliopsida; Poales; Poaceae.